RNAcentral lists this ribosomal RNA (1528 nucleotides) under Klebsiella pneumoniae. RNAcentral describes it as "bacterial SSU rRNA". It matches the Rfam family "Bacterial small subunit ribosomal RNA". The record is from RNAcentral. Lineage: Bacteria; Pseudomonadati; Pseudomonadota; Gammaproteobacteria; Enterobacterales; Enterobacteriaceae.
AGAGUUUGAUCAUGGCUCAGAUUGAACGCUGGCGGCAGGCCUAACACAUGCAAGUCGAGCGGUAGCACAGAGAGCUUGCUCUCGGGUGACGAGCGGCGGACGGGUGAGUAAUGUCUGGGAAACUGCCUGAUGGAGGGGGAUAACUACUGGAAACGGUAGCUAAUACCGCAUAACGUCGCAAGACCAAAGUGGGGGACCUUCGGGCCUCAUGCCAUCAGAUGUGCCCAGAUGGGAUUAGCUAGUAGGUGGGGUAACGGCUCACCUAGGCGACGAUCCCUAGCUGGUCUGAGAGGAUGACCAGCCACACUGGAACUGAGACACGGUCCAGACUCCUACGGGAGGCAGCAGUGGGGAAUAUUGCACAAUGGGCGCAAGCCUGAUGCAGCCAUGCCGCGUGUGUGAAGAAGGCCUUCGGGUUGUAAAGCACUUUCAGCGGGGAGGAAGGCGAUAAGGUUAAUAACCUUGUCGAUUGACGUUACCCGCAGAAGAAGCACCGGCUAACUCCGUGCCAGCAGCCGCGGUAAUACGGAGGGUGCAAGCGUUAAUCGGAAUUACUGGGCGUAAAGCGCACGCAGGCGGUCUGUCAAGUCGGAUGUGAAAUCCCCGGGCUCAACCUGGGAACUGCAUUCGAAACUGGCAGGCUAGAGUCUUGUAGAGGGGGGUAGAAUUCCAGGUGUAGCGGUGAAAUGCGUAGAGAUCUGGAGGAAUACCGGUGGCGAAGGCGGCCCCCUGGACAAAGACUGACGCUCAGGUGCGAAAGCGUGGGGAGCAAACAGGAUUAGAUACCCUGGUAGUCCACGCAGUAAACGAUGUCGAUUUGGAGGUUGUGCCCUUGAGGCGUGGCUUCCGGAGCUAACGCGUUAAAUCGACCGCCUGGGGAGUACGGCCGCAAGGUUAAAACUCAAAUGAAUUGACGGGGGCCCGCACAAGCGGUGGAGCAUGUGGUUUAAUUCGAUGCAACGCGAAGAACCUUACCUGGUCUUGACAUCCACAGAACUUAGCAGAGAUGCUUUGGUGCCUUCGGGAACUGUGAGACAGGUGCUGCAUGGCUGUCGUCAGCUCGUGUUGUGAAAUGUUGGGUUAAGUCCCGCAACGAGCGCAACCCUUAUCCUUUGUUGCCAGCGGUUAGGCCGGGAACUCAAAGGAGACUGCCAGUGAUAAACUGGAGGAAGGUGGGGAUGACGUCAAGUCAUCAUGGCCCUUACGACCAGGGCUACACACGUGCUACAAUGGCAUAUACAAAGAGAAGCGACCUCGCGAGAGCAAGCGGACCUCAUAAAGUAUGUCGUAGUCCGGAUUGGAGUCUGCAACUCGACUCCAUGAAGUCGGAAUCGCUAGUAAUCGUAGAUCAGAAUGCUACGGUGAAUACGUUCCCGGGCCUUGUACACACCGCCCGUCACACCAUGGGAGUGGGUUGCAAAAGAAGUAGGUAGCUUAACCUUCGGGAGGGCGCUUACCACUUUGUGAUUCAUGACUGGGGUGAAGUCGUAACAAGGUAACCGUAGGGGAACCUGCGGUUGGAUCACCU